GAUGAACGCUAGCGGCAGGCAUAAUACAUGCAAGACAACGGUAAGUUGGUAGCAAUACUGAACCUAGAGUGUCGUACAGGUGCGUAACACGUAUGCAACCUACCUUUUACAGGAGUAUAGCUCGGGGAAACCCGAAUUAACCCUCCAUAAGAUCACAUUCAGGCAUCUGGAAGUGAUUAAAACUGCGGUGGUAAAAGAUG
This 200-nucleotide ribosomal RNA is filed under the name uncultured bacterium. RNAcentral describes it as "partial 16S ribosomal RNA". It matches the Rfam family "Bacterial small subunit ribosomal RNA", at positions 28 to 227 of the family's 1533-position model. The record is from RNAcentral.